Molecule: long non-coding RNA, 1426 nt
Organism: Bubalus bubalis (water buffalo)
Lineage: Eukaryota; Metazoa; Chordata; Mammalia; Artiodactyla; Bovidae
Exons: 4
Source: RefSeq, a predicted model, not a curated record
AAUUGAGGCUUCCCGUGCUUGGUGAUGGCUAUCUUAGCCAUCUGGGCAUUGGCAGGAGGAGUGGGAGAUGGUGAGGAGAGAGCAGAACACAGCAAUCUGCCUUAUGUGCCGCCUGCUUUUAAGCCCCUUUUCUAUGGGACCAGCUUCUGUUUGCCUCUCUCUUCCUAAUUUCAUCUGUUCAACUUACUAGAGGAAAAAAAAAAGUCUGCCAAAGGAUAGGACUCCAUCAUACAAGCAGACGGUGACUGUGAUGCUCAUGAAGCCUCCCUCCAUCACCAGUGACGUGCCCUCCCUCCAUCACCAGUGACGUGCCUUUUACCAACCUCUUCACUGUCAUUUGGACUUCACCUUUGAAGCUCCAAGGUCACCCCAUCCAAUGAUAAUUGUCAUUGAAUUGGAAAUGUAAUUACAUGAUUGUUAAUCAAAUCUAUUUUCUCCAGACUGAAGAAACAACUGAAAUGGUCCGUGGGGAGCUUCUUCCUGUUAUGGCAACUGGAAAAGGAUGUGGAACUUGCUCUUUGAUGAGAAGGUUGACUCCAUGUAAGCCUCCUGGGGAUGUGAGGAGAGCAGAGGGCAGUUGGUUUCAUUUUGGAAAGAUCAGAAUUUUCUUUAUCCUUUGGAGGCCUUAAUUAAUUUUCUGGACCAUGAGCCGUGCCUUCAAAGAACAUGGAGGACGGAUCAGAUUGCUAGCGCUUGACCCGCAGAGCAGUGAUGAAAUGCCAUUUCCUGAGAUGGGGAACUGAAGACGGUGGAAGAUGGAGAAGAAGGUUGGUUCACUUUUGCACCUGUGAUGCUGAAGCUGCUCUUGGUCAUCCAGGUUGAGUUGUCGAGAAGGCAGGUGAUGUGUGAGACUGGUACUCAGAGCACAGGUCUGUCCCAGAGAGAUACAGUUUGGAAAUUUCACCAACUGCUAGCACAAGUUUUUCUCGACUCUGAGCAUCCCUACUAAAGAACGUUACUAUUUCAGCUGCAAUGCAGGAUUCACAAAAGUUCAAGCACUUGUUCCGCCAGCUUGGACUCUGAAUAACAGGUGGUCUGAAACCCCUUCAAAGUGGACGAGAGAGAAUGAGAGAGAAGCUGACACAUAAAAUUCACCACCACCAUUGGGUACCAGUGUCUACAGAGCUGGGGCAGCAGGCAGUGGUCACAGGGCACUGUGGUACCAGGGAUUAUCAUCAGCUGGGGAGCAGAUGAAGACAACGCACCUGAAGGUCUCAUCUAGAGAAUGAUCGGCGGUUCCAAAAGUCACUGGAGAGUCAGCUUGCAAAGAUUCCAGGAGCAACUGAAAGUGGCUUCACAAUUUGUGUAUGUAUAUUUCAAAAUGCUCCCCUGGUGGCUCAGAGGGUGAAGAAUCUGCCUGCUAUGCAGGAGACCAAGGUUCAAUUCCUGGGUUGUGAAGAUCCCCUGGAGAAGGGGAUGGCUACCC